This 149-nucleotide small nuclear RNA is filed under the name Notamacropus eugenii (tammar wallaby). Its description in RNAcentral is "U1 spliceosomal RNA (ENSMEUG00000017574.1)". It matches the Rfam family "U1 spliceosomal RNA". Rfam says of the family: U1 is a small nuclear RNA (snRNA) component of the spliceosome (involved in pre-mRNA splicing). Its 5' end forms complementary base pairs with the 5' splice junction, thus defining the 5' donor site of an intron. Lineage: Eukaryota; Metazoa; Chordata; Mammalia; Diprotodontia; Macropodidae. The record is from RNAcentral.
AUACUUACCUGACUGGGGUGAUGCCAUGAUCAUGAAUAUGGUUUUCCCAAGGUAAGGCUUAUACUCCCUGUGGCCUGACUUGCAGUUUCCUCAGAUGCAGUAAACUUGAGAAUUUAAUAUGUGGUAGUAGAGGACUGUACUUUCCCCUG